This is a long non-coding RNA of Aquila chrysaetos chrysaetos, 6960 nucleotides long. RefSeq lists it as uncharacterized. The transcript is spliced from 6 exons. Lineage: Eukaryota; Metazoa; Chordata; Aves; Accipitriformes; Accipitridae. The record is from RefSeq and is a predicted model, not a curated record.
CCGCUGGCCGGGGCGGCAGCGAGCUGGGGGCGGGGGGAGCCGAUUCCAGCCCCUGCCUGGCGUUUCCCGGAUCCCUCCGAUUCCCGUGGGUCGGUAAGGGGAUAGGAAAACCCUGAUGCUUCCCAGCCAGCGUCGUCUCGAAGAGCACGGUCUCCCGCUGCCGUCGUGGCUGCCUGCGGUGGGACGUGCUGAGGGAUGAAAGCCCGCCUGGGCGUCUCAUACCAAGGCGGGACCUGAGUGAAUUUGCCGCUGCUGGGAGCCGCCCGAGACGCCGACCAGGAAAAUGUCUGAGGUCAGAUCUUGGUGCUGGUGGCAUGUGGCGGUGACCUAGACGGCAGCAAGUACCCUGUGUGCAGCACACUGAUCAAAAUAGCCCUCAUCGCUUGAAGCUCAGCUGUGCUGGUGGACGUUUGCCACUUGAAGUGAAGCUAUCCUCCAGUGUGUCAGAGGAAGUGAGAAGGAAAGGAUAUACUCUCAGGAGCCAGGUUAUGAAUCAAGAGAAGAUUACUCCUUCCUGAACUUGGCAGGCAACCAAAGGAAGUUCUGAAGCAGAGGAUUCAAACAAUAAAGGGCCUGGAUAACUUGCGCAAACAUCCAUACCGCUGAUGAACUGUGCAAGAGGAGUGUUCGCUAUUUGUGUUUCGCUUUCACACCACCUACCUCGGUAGUUAACUGGUCCCCAUUACUUCCCACCCAGUGAUUCACAUCAGCAAGUACUGGCGUCCCCUGCCUGCCUUGCAGCAGCAUCUGUGGUGCAGUGGGCAAUGUGAGGAACAGAGUCUGUGGGGAUUUUGGCAAAAGGGAGCAGUGCAGAUGAGAGGGAGCACCAGGACUCGCUCUGGUAGCUGAGCUCCCUGUGGAUGUUCCCUGACUAACUUGCCAAUAUCUGCAUAAACAGAGAAGGAGCAAAGAGCUCUUAGCCUUCUGCCCGGGCCUGGCUGACAGGAACAAGAGCUGGGAGCAAUUUUAGGGCCCUGCGGUAUGAGCCCCAACCCGAAGACCUGGCCAGAGCUUCCCUGACUCUGCUCCACUCAAGAACAACAUGUGCCUUGUGUUUCCUAGCUUUGCUUAUCAGAUCUCCAGCCAAAAUGAAUGGCCAAAUCUCUUACAAACAGAGAAAUUAAAUGAAAACAACACCAGUGCCAAGUUCUUUGCAAACAGAGAAGUGAAAUGAAAAACGCCAGUCGCUGUAGGUUCACCCAGCACAUUGAAUUAUUAUCUGUCAUGGCCUGUUCUUACAUUUGUCCUUUCCCUGUGGUUGAUAAAUAAGACUUCCCACAAGUUCUGAAGCUGUAUCAGGAGUUGCGUAGCAGAUAAUGUUAAUAAAUCUUAGGGGCUAUCUCUCUGACUUGCCUGGCAGCCUAAUAGCUCAAAAGUCUUGCAGUUUCUAAUGUCUUGCUUUUUUUAAACGUGUAACUUUGAAAUCUUUCUUUCCUUGACCACAGGCCCAAAGGCCAGGUUGAUAUGGACGUGACUGCAAGUCCUGAUUUUCAAGGCAAGACCUCUGGGCUGAUGCACCAUAAUUUUUUGCCCAGAGUUUGUGCCUUCAUCUGGAACGUAGGUGCCAUUCCAGUGUCGGUGCAAUUUGGAAGCAGGGUGCUUCAUGGCCUGUGCAGCCCCGGGGUUUGGUACAGCUCAAUGCAGCAGUCAAAGAGCAAUCCUCUUUGUCAGCAGAUGCACUCACUGCUGCCAAGAAACAAAAAUCCUGUCUCUUAUGAAGGCCAGGCCUUGGAGGCACCAUCUCUGGCUUGCUCCACUCUGCCCUCCUGCCUCCUUUGCAAGCAGUAGAGAAAUGGUCUCCUCCAGCCAGGGUCAAAGGGUGAGUUGCAUGAAUUACCUUACAGAGAUGUCCGUCUCUCCCUGUUGAAGGGGCCCAAGGGUGGUGAAAUAAGACUUGGACAUCUAGACACUUGAGAUGAAAUGAAGUCCAGACAUGGGACAAAAAAAAAAAAAAAAAGAAGAAAAUACAAUCCUAGGUCAUGCUUAACAAGAUUCUUCCUAGGCCACUUUGAAUUUUUUGCUUGGAAGCAGACCCCUGUGAGACAGGGCUUAGGUGCCCAGGUGCUGGGAUGAAGAGCAUCUUUCUUUGUUCAGUAGUUUCCAGUCGACCAGCUCCUCAGUUCACCUGACAUUUUCUCAUUGCAGCUUGGCUGCUGCUCACUCUGCGCAAUUUCCACAGGAGAGGACUUUAGCUGAAAACUCGCCAGUUCCUCCUCCACCAGUCCUCAUGGAGCAACAUGCUCCAGCUGUCUCAUAGGCUGCAUCAGGGUCUGUUUCUACCUUCUUCUUGUCUGCUGGGCACCCAUCUGCAAAAUUCUGCCUUACAUUUUGUUUGCAUGCUGCCAGGUCCCUUCUGUGUUAUGUUUCUAACGUCCCAGUGUUGCCCUGUGAGCACUGGCCACCAAUACCUUUCUGCUCAAGGCUGGGUUUUCCCUUGUUGAAAGACCUCUUGAGCAACAGCACAUCAUGUUUUGUGGCUUCUUGGUGGAAAAACUACUUUAUGCACAGAUUCAGGUUUUAGAAAUGUGCUUGAAAUAAUUCAUAUUUCUCCCAUCUGCCGGUGUUGUGGGAAUUAUAUCCCAGCUGGUUCUGCAGCUCAGUGCGUAAGGGACUAGUCAUCAGCUUAAUAGCAAAGCUGAGAAAUGCAUGGUUGGCAGAUGCAUUCUGAAGACUAUCUCUCUGAGUCUGCUGAACUCACUUGGAAAAUCUCUUCCAACAGAAACCCAGAUGCCUAUACUGCUGCUGGUGUGGCUGUGUCAUCUGGAAACUAAGUGGCAUCAAAUAGGAUGGGCAUUUUUGUUCCUUUUGUAAUGCUUUUUGCAAUAUCUACUGUGGCCUCAGAUGUCUGCAGAGAGAGUUUGUCUGUGACUGUCUCCUGUGCUUUGACAGUCUGUGCCUUUGUCACAGUCCUGCACUGGAGGACACUGGAGGACACCCAGGCAAACCACUCCUUUCUUGCCACAGUCUGAUUUGUUUCCUAGGGCAGUUCAGCUGUCUGUGCAAUCAGGCAUAUUUACCUGGAGAUAGAUUUGCUUCUCCAAACCACUUAUACCUUAAAGGUGAAAUUACAUGCCCGACAAAUAUCUUGUCUUUAAAUAGGGAAACUUUUCCGCUUCCAAUGUUACAUGUGGAUGCCAGAGUUUUGCAGUCCCCUAUUUCUGCUUUUUUGUUUUGAAUUGAAAAUGGUAUCCAUCUCCUGUCUCCUCCUGGCUGGAGCUACAUUGUUCAUCAGACAUAUUUAUUAGCUUGUCUGGUGGCUUUGCUAUUAUUUCUCACUGAGUUUUCUCACUUCCUCUAGUUUUUGUUCCUUGACAAAAUAACAAAAGCCUUACUUUUGCUGUCUCAUUUUUAUCCCUUCUCAGCUUCUCCUUAUCACACUCUUCUCUUGUUUCUAUUAUGAACACACUACAGCAAGGUCUUCUGUCUGCAAAUCCAGUAUUUGUGCUCUGAGUCUGUCUGUACAGCAUGUCUGGGGUCUUUCUAGGUGUGGCUUCAUUUUCCUCUCAUUUCUUAAAGUUGGUCUCGCUAGACUCUGGUGCCCAUGUUCAUGUGCUGCUGCUUGCUAAGUGUAUGAAUGGACUCCAUAUUUUAAAUACUGAAUCUGUGCAUUAAGUACUUCUGAAAACAGUCCAGUUCAGUUAGCAGCCCAGCUCUGGGUAAAACUCUAUCCUUAGAGAUAUCCUCUAUCCAUUAAUUGCUCUUUUCCUUCAUCCACAUUUUUUUUAAGCUUGCUGCAGCGGGGAUUACUGUUAGCAGGGAAGAAAACUGCAGGACUCUACCUAAUCUCCAGAUUGUGGGUAACCCUCCACUGAAUGCCAGGAGCAGCCCCAAGGAACAGGACAGGCUGAGCAAUUGGACUGUCUUUGCCCAUGUGUCAGGCAGCCUGUGCAGCUGGGGUCUUGGUGUCAUUUCCUGACUCCACACUGCAAGCUGAAUGUCUUCGGCUGGGCUGAAGAUGGCACCAGUUGCCAUCUUGUGUCUGGUUCAAUAUAGCAAGACACCCAUGCUCAUGCAUGCACACAUUCGCAUUUAUAACCAAAAUGUUCAGGUUCCAGACUCUUUUGGUGGUAUUUUCCCUUAUUCUAAAGUAAGGGCGACAAUCACAUCUUGUUCUUUUUUUUUUUUUUAUGGGAAGCAUGACACAGUUUCACCCCUAAAAUAGUGUGUUCUGUAUUCCCACAUGCAUCAAGUAUAGCUGAUGGAGAAAUCUGGAAGAGCUGGAGAUCCCUAUUCUUUAAUUAAAUAGUCAUAUCAAUGGGCACAUAGGAAGACAUUGAGUAUUCCUAUGAUAUAAGUAGUAAUCUCCCCUCAGAGGCAGCAGUGAUGUUCCUGCUCUCCUGAUUCAUGGCAGCUGAUUCUGAAACCACCAGAUUAGUGUGAAUGGUGACACAUCCAGCCAGCCACAGGGGCACAUCUAACAUGGGAAACAAGCCAUCCUCCGUCCCGUUGGUCAGGGACUGAGGGGGCUGGUGGUAAAUGGGAACUCCCCAGUGGGCUCUGUGAGGGUGAUCGAAGGCCUCCUAGCUUUGCAAUGUCUGCAUGAGCUCACAUGGGGGAAUGGUUUUGCCCCUAUUCGGGCACUAAAGUUAGAUAGCUCUGUCCACAAAACUCAUUUGGUUUCCUGUACACAAAAGCAGAAGGUGUUUUAUACCAUUCUCAGCCAGCCUGCCUAGAGGAGCCUGUUUUCUUCCAUGGACUUUAAAUAGAGCCUCAGGCAACUGGUUCAGACACGCUGUCUUGCUCUUAAGUCCAUGAAUGUAGCAGGCAUGUGUCCGCCCAGGAUCUUCUCUGCACCCUUCACACCCUGUCAUGAUCUCAGUGUGCUCCUCGUCCCAGAGAUGGCAGUCAGCUACCAGUCUUGUUUCUGCUUGUUUCUGCGAGUAAGCAUGGGGAUGGAUGCUGCUUUCUGAUCUGCCUUCCAUGCACAUACUUCUUGGGCAUCACAGUGCAGUGGCAUUUUGUAAUAAUCAAAACCGUGCAUGUCCUAGAUCCAUAUUACAGCUUCCUAGUGAUUUAUUCGAGCAGCAUAAAGCUUUUAUUACUCACAUGCUUUGUAACAGAGAGUCCUUUCCAUUAUUAUGUUUUUUUGCUUUGGAGCACAUGAAAACAUGUUAAGGACUCAAUAGACAUUGAGAAAACCAGCCUUUUUUGAAACACUUCAAUUUUAAAUAAAGAUGCAUGGCAGCAGACUGGUGCCAGAACAACAAAGAUGACAGAGAAUAGCAAAACAACAAGACUGUAAGGCUGCUCACAGUGUGUGUACUUGUAAUUAAGUCGCCCUUUGUGGUCACUUUAUAAUAGUCUCAGAGUCCCAGGAGUACUGGAGGAAUUUUCAGUUCUCCUUAGCUUGGAGAUGGAAUGACCAGAGGCACCUCCACCACCUUCAUCAUCUCUGAAAGGGGAGCUACCCUUGCGAGCUGGGUGGGUGAUUGACUGGGAGACCAGAAUCUGUCGUUUGGCUUGGGUUGGUGAAUCAAAUGAGAUGGCAAUAGGCCAUCAAAGGAUACUGCCCUUCCGUAGGUUUUCUCAUGAAGGCUGUGGUGCUCAAGCUCAGGGAUUUACAGGGUUCCUCUUUUGUAAUACUGAUGUUAGAAUUGUUCUCAUAUCAAAUAAAUCAUUGUUAAAUACAGCCACAGUCCAGGCUGCCAUGAAAUAUUCACCUUUGUUUAUUCUGAAUUUCUGACCUUUAAUUUGAUCAACCUUUUUUUUUUUUUUUUUUUUUACAUUUCACUAGUAUGUGGUAUCACAUACCUGGGAUGCAGGCAAGUUCCCCACGUAGCUUGAGCAGAGGGGAGAGAAUCCUUGAAUCCUGUAUACCUUUGCUUCCCCUGGGAAUAGGGGCUGUGAGCUGCAGGACGUUGCUCCCCUAAGCCUCAAGCAGAGCCACUGAUUACCUGCAAGGGCCAGUGGAGAGGAGGCUGCUGCCCUCACAGAGCACCUUUGUGGGGCCAAGGCUGCUGUCCGUGGAAAUGGAGGGGUGGGAGAGCCACUGGUUUCGUCCCUGGUGUGCUGCAGCAUUUCUCUGAGGAACAUCUCAAAGGUCUUCUACCACCUCCUCCUGGAGCGCACGUGGAGCAGUGUUUCACCCUUCACGUGUAGCCUCUGCUACCCCUGGCCCCAGGUCAGCCUCAUCCCCAGUGAACACAGAGCAUGUGUGAACGUACACCUCGGCUUCCUUUCCUUUCCUCUCCAGCCCUUCUGUUUCUUGGUGGGUGCUUCUCCCCUCCCUCUGGUGAAGCCCAUUAGUAGGCCUGGGCUGGCUCCCUCCUUCAGCUCCUUGGGAUCUUCCUUUUCUCCUCUUAAUUUAACCCUACUCAACAUUUUUAGUGAGCUUCUGUGCAUGCAGCAGCUCCUGGAUCCACCAGUCCCUCAAUGCUGGGGAAGGUGUCGACAUUUCCCAUCUCUCCUUCCUCUGAACAAGCCUCCCCCUUCCCUCCCACCGCUCCGCUUUUCCCCUCCUUCCAAGGGAUCCUCCUGGGCAGCCACCUCCGUACCGGGCAGGAGCCGGGGAAGGGGGAGCAUUGCCAAGGCGGCGGUGUGCCCCCGGGCUUUCCCCGCGUCCAUCGCUCCUGUGGCUGGGGAACGGGCACAGCCUGGCUGCAGUCUCCGCUCUUGGAGGACCUCAUUAAAGGAAGGUGAAAGAUGCUGACAAAUACAGUGGGCCCUAAAGCCCACAACAGCCUCCUUGCUUUCAGGUUGUUGCGAAGAAGACAACUUAUCCCAGAAGCUGCGAAUACCAGGGGGAAUGUGUAAAUAAACAACCGAGAAAACAUCCUUUUCCUGCUUGGCUCUACAUAUUUCUGGUGCUGGGUGAGAGGAACAAAGAUGUCUUAUGGGUGAGGGAGACACAGCAUUUGCUACACAGGAAAGCUCUUGCAAAAUAAAUUAAGGCAUGAAUAUAAAAGAGCUGUAGUAUUCCUCUCUGAUUCACUGAAGGGGGGGGGGGGGGUAACAGGGACU